GAUGAACGCUAGCUACAGGCUUAACACAUGCAAGUCGAGGGGAAACGAUAGAGAAAGCUUGCUUUUUCUAGGCGUCGACCGGCGCACGGGUGAGUAACGCGUAUCCAACCUGCCCAUCACUUGGGGAUAACCUUGCGAAAGUAAGACUAAUACCCAAUGACGUCUCUAGAAGACAUCUGAAAGAGAUUAAAGAUUUAUCGGUGAUGGAUGGGGAUGCGUCUGAUUAGCUUGUUGGCGGGGUAACGGCCCACCAAGGCGACGAUCAGUAGGGGUUCUGAGAGGAAGGUCCCCCACAUUGGAACUGAGACACGGUCCAAACUCCUACGGGAGGCAGCAGUGAGGAAUAUUGGUCAAUGGACGAGAGUCUGAACCAGCCAAGUAGCGUGCAGGAUGACGGCCCUAUGGGUUGUAAACUUCUUUUAUAUGGGAAUAAAGUAUUCCACGUGUGGGAUUUUGUAUGUACCAUAUGAAUAAGGAUCGGCUAACUCCGUGCCAGCAGCC
This 501-nucleotide ribosomal RNA is filed under the name uncultured bacterium. RNAcentral describes it as "bacterial SSU rRNA". It matches the Rfam family "Bacterial small subunit ribosomal RNA", at positions 28 to 516 of the family's 1533-position model. The record is from RNAcentral.